UGCAGCCUUGUCAAAUUCAGUGCAUCUUCUACAAUGGAUGCCACUGGCCAAAAUGGCUGCUACAUUGAAGGUGUAGCUCAUGGGCCCCAUUGUGCUCCAACAUGGCCCCUGGGGAUAAAUAUGUACUACACACAAAC
This is a small nucleolar RNA of Dunckerocampus dactyliophorus (ringed pipefish), 137 nucleotides long. RefSeq annotates it as small nucleolar RNA SNORA5. NCBI's taxonomy places the organism in Eukaryota, Metazoa, Chordata, Actinopteri, Syngnathiformes, Syngnathidae. The record is from RefSeq and is a predicted model, not a curated record. The transcript has a single exon.